UACGAAGGGGGCUAGCGUUGCUCGGAAUCACUGGGCGUAAAGCGCACGUAGGCGGAUUGCUAAGUCAGGGGUGAAAUCCUGGAGCUCAACUCCAGAACUGCCUCUGAUACUGGCGAUCUCGAGUCCGGGAGAGGUGAGUGGAACUGCGAGUGUAGAGGUGAAAUUCGUAGAUAUUCGCAAGAACACCAGUGGCGAAGGCGGCUCACUGGCCCGGUACUGACGCUGAGGUGCGAAAGCGUGGGGAGCAAACAGG
Molecule: ribosomal RNA, 253 nt
Filed under: uncultured bacterium
Lineage: Bacteria
Description: partial 16S ribosomal RNA
Rfam family: Bacterial small subunit ribosomal RNA
Source: RNAcentral